This 832-nucleotide ribosomal RNA is filed under the name uncultured archaeon. Its description in RNAcentral is "bacterial SSU rRNA". It matches the Rfam family "Archaeal small subunit ribosomal RNA", at positions 20 to 837 of the family's 1478-position model. The record is from RNAcentral.
GACCCGACUGCUAUUUGGGUGAGGAUAAGCCAUGCGAGUUGAAUGGGAUACCUAAAAAUCCCAUGGCAAACUGCUCAGUAACACAUGAUCAACUUACCCUAUAGAGGAAAAUAACCUCGGGAAACUGAGGAUAAUGUUCCAUAGUUGAAUCGGCUUGGAAAAGUUUUUCAAUAAAAGGGAUAAGAAAAAUGGUUCUUAUCUGCUAUAGGAUAGGAUCGUGCUCGAUUAUGGUUGUUGGUGAGGUAAAGGCUCACCAAGCCGAUAAUCGAUAGGGGCCGUGAGAGCGGGAGCCCCGAGAUGGGUACUGAGACAACGACCCAGGCCUUACGAGGCGCAGCAGGCGCGAAACCUCCGCAAUACACGAAAGUGUGACGGGGUUACCCAAAGUGUUCUAUUUAGAACUGUGGUAGGUGAGUAAUGUCCCCUACUAGAAAGGAGAGGGCAAGGCUGGUGCCAGCCGCCGCGGUAAAACCAGCUCUUCAAGUGGUCGGGAUAAUUAUUGGGCUUAAAGUGUCCGUAGCCGGUUUAGUAAGUUCCUGGUAAAAUCGGGUAGCUUAACUAUCUAUAUGCUAGGAAUACUGCUAUACUAGAGGGCGGGAGAGGUCUGAGGUACUACAGGGGUAGGGGUGAAAUCUUAUAAUCCUUGUAGGACCACCAGUGGCGAANGCGUCAGACUGGAACGCGCCUGACGGUGAGGGACGAAAGCCAGGGGAGCGAACCGGAUUAGAUACCCGGGUAGUCCUGGCCGUAAACGAUGCAUACUANGUGAUGGCACGGCCAUGAGCCGUGUCAGUGCCGUANGGAAACCGUUAAGUGUGCCGCCUGGGAAGUA